GCAAAACGCGAAGAACCUUACCAAGGCUUGACAUAUACCGAAAACUCGUAGAGAUACGGGGUCCGCAAGGGCGGUAUACAGGUGGUGCAUGGUUGUCGUCAGCUCGUGUCGUGAGAUGUUGGGUUAAGUCCCGCAACGAGCGCAACCCUCGUCCUAUGUUGCCAGCGGGUAAUGCCGGGGACUCAUAGGAGACUGCCGGGGUCAACUCGGAGGAAGGUGGGGAUGAGGUCAAAUCAUCAUGCCCCUUAUGUCUUGGGCUUCACGCAUGCUACAAUGGCCGGUACAAAGGGCUGCGAUACCGCAAGGUGGAGCGAAUCUCAAAAAGCCGGUCUCAGUUCGGAUUGGGGUCUGCAACUCGACCCCAUGAAGUCGGAGUCGCUAGUAAUCGCAGAUCAGCAACGCUGCGGUGAAUACGUUCCCGGGUCUUGUACACACCG
RNAcentral lists this ribosomal RNA (437 nucleotides) under uncultured bacterium. RNAcentral's name for it is "bacterial SSU rRNA". It matches the Rfam family "Bacterial small subunit ribosomal RNA", at positions 954 to 1392 of the family's 1533-position model. The record is from RNAcentral.